Molecule: ribosomal RNA, 352 nt
Filed under: uncultured Pelotomaculum sp.
Lineage: Bacteria; Bacillati; Bacillota; Clostridia; Eubacteriales; Desulfotomaculaceae
Description: bacterial SSU rRNA
Rfam family: Bacterial small subunit ribosomal RNA
Source: RNAcentral
UGACAGGUGGUGCAUGGUUGUCGUCAGCUCGUGUCGUGAGAUGUUGGGUUAAGUCCCGCAACGAGCGCAACCCCUACGUUUAGUUGCUAACGCGUGAAGGCGAGCACUCUAGACGAACUGCCGUUGACAAAACGGAGGAAGGUGGGGAUGACGUCAAAUCAUCAUGCCCCUUAUGUUCUGGGCUACACACGUGCUACAAUGGCCGGUACAGACGGACGCAAAGCCGCGAGGUGGAGCAAAUCCUAAAAAGCCGGUCUCAGUUCGGAUUGCAGGCUGCAAUUCGCCUGCAUGAAGUCGGAAUCGCUAGUAAUCGCAGGUCAGCAUACUGCGGUCGAAUACGUUCCCGGGCCUU